AUCUAUCACCAAUCCUCACCAUUGCUUCUUCAAGUUGACAAAUUCAGAUUAUUUACUUCACCAUCUUCCUCCCAACCACUGAUUUUAACUCCCAAAUUUCCACUAUAAAUAGCCAUGGAAAUUCAACAUUAAGAACUCACCAACAACAACCUUCAUCCUCUCUUCUCCCUCUAAAUCAGAAACUCAGUCAAUAAUCACCGGAAAAUUGUAACUAAAAGAAAAGAAAAGAAAAGAGAAAACCCCAAAUUCAUAAUCUCUCUCCUCUGUUUCGGACCCCACACAACCGACCACCGCGGCCACCGGGCGCGCCACCUGUGCCGCGAUCAGUCCCGCCCUCACCUCGUCGUCGCUCGCCGGCCGCCUCGCACGUCACUCGCCGGAGACCGCCGCGCCAGCAGUUAUCUCUCUUUCCUCGCGCUGUCUCUCUCGCCCCUCUUUUUCUUCGCGCGACGCUGCUGCACGCGCAGCACUGCCGAUGACCCGCGCGCCCACCGCCGGAGAUCGACGCUGCUGCUGGUCGCGCCGUUCACCGGAGCCGGCAUCCCACCUCUGCCGGAAUUGUUGUCCUCCCUGCUCCUAGUAGCAGAGAUUAAAGAAGAUAAAGGAUAUUACAAGCCUCCCCCGGCUAUCAUGUUGGUAAGCAGGAAUUCAGGUAUGGGAGAACAGUUGUGGAUCACGAUUAUAUUGCGUUAUGGAGAUUAUGUAUGAUUCAUGAGCUUUUAAGAUACUUUGUAUAAUGGAUAAACAAGUAUUAUCUUGCGAUGAGUAAUUGUAUAGUAAAUUUUAAAUUUUAGGCUACUAUUUUAUUUGUGGGCCAUAAUCCACAGGAUUAAGUUAUGCUUCCGCUGACGAUUAAGGUUAUGUAAAUUUGUCGGGGCGUUA
Beta vulgaris subsp. vulgaris (sugar beet) is the source of this 882-nucleotide long non-coding RNA. RefSeq lists it as uncharacterized. The record is from RefSeq and is a predicted model, not a curated record. Lineage: Eukaryota; Viridiplantae; Streptophyta; Magnoliopsida; Caryophyllales; Amaranthaceae. The transcript is spliced from 3 exons.